CCAUUGGCCUGCUGGGGAAACUGAGGCUGUGCUGGUCUGGCACUGCCUGCACCUUGUGAAUGGCUGAAGUUUGGGCUGAGGUCUCCGCGACCACAGAGCUGUUGGACCAAUCUGUUCCUAUGGAGGGGACAUGGAGACCAGGCCACCUGCCAGAGGCGGUGGGGACUCGGCCCUCUGUGAGCCCGGAAGUGCCUGGUGGAGAAGUCUGUGGUUCAAGUGCUUGGACAAGGGCCUGAACACCCAUCCCCGGGCCCCCCGCCCUCAUGGGGGUGAGGGGCUGACCUUUCUCGUCCAGGCUCCCCUCACGCAGGAGUGAGGCGACAGCUGGGUCCCAUGUCUGGGCGAUGGGCAGAUCAGCCGGUGGAGGGGUCAACGCCCGUGUGGCCACACCAACCAGCCCACGCCUAUUGUCCUGGCUGCUGGUCCCCAGGUGGGGCUCUGAGGUGGCAGAGGGGCUCCCCAGGUGAUGACCCAGCCUCCAGCACACCGGACACCAUUGAAAGCACAAACAGGGUCUGAGGCAGAGAGGAGCUGUGGACUCAUGCAUCAGGCCCCUGGGGUGCACACCAGCCCAGCCGUAUCUCCUGGGGUCACAGCUCUGUGGACAUGACUCCUGAUGCCCGCUGUCCAGCUCCCGUGUGUGACUGCACCCUGACUUUGAUGCCCUCUGACCAGCUCGAGUCUGUGACUGCACCGUGACUGGUGCCCGCUGUCCAGCUCAAGUGCGUGACUGCGACAUGACUGAUACCUACUGAGGCUAGCGGGACAAGGGGGGUGGAGCAGUGUGCCUUUAAAGAGAUGCCGGUGCAGGCUGAGGGCCACUCCUCCCGGGCGGCACUGAGCCAGCCUCUGCAAAUAUACAAUAAAUUACCAUUUCCCAGGCUACCGCUGCUUGC
This 896-nucleotide long non-coding RNA is filed under the name Chinchilla lanigera (long-tailed chinchilla). RNAcentral's name for it is "lncRNA (ENSCLAG00000029015.1)". The record is from RNAcentral. Lineage: Eukaryota; Metazoa; Chordata; Mammalia; Rodentia; Chinchillidae.